RNAcentral lists this non-coding RNA (67 nucleotides) under Arthrobacter sp. The record is from RNAcentral. Lineage: Bacteria; Bacillati; Actinomycetota; Actinomycetes; Micrococcales; Micrococcaceae.
CCAAGGUCCCGUUCGGCGGACCUCCGGACGACGGUUCAGUACCCGGCACGCGACAAGACUGGCCAAG